AUCGCUUCUCGGCCUUUUGGCUAAGAUCAAGUGUAGUAUCUGUUCUUAUCAGUUUAAUAUUAGUUUCAUGUAUACAACAUAGUGAUUAGACAUUUAGAUAUUUGUAUACCUUAU
RNAcentral lists this small nuclear RNA (114 nucleotides) under Myotis davidii. RNAcentral describes it as "U2 spliceosomal RNA". It matches the Rfam family "U2 spliceosomal RNA". From Rfam's summary of the family: U2 is a small nuclear RNA (snRNA) component of the spliceosome (involved in pre-mRNA splicing). Complementary binding between U2 snRNA (in an area lying towards the 5' end but 3' to hairpin I) and the branchpoint sequence (BPS) of the intron results the bulging out of an unpaired adenosine, on the BPS, which initiates a nucleophilic attack at the intronic 5' splice site, thus starting the first of two transesterification reactions that mediate splicing. The record is from Rfam by way of RNAcentral. Lineage: Eukaryota; Metazoa; Chordata; Mammalia; Chiroptera; Vespertilionidae.